Molecule: RNA transcript, 2592 nt
Organism: Helianthus annuus (common sunflower)
Lineage: Eukaryota; Viridiplantae; Streptophyta; Magnoliopsida; Asterales; Asteraceae
Gene name: pentatricopeptide repeat-containing protein At2g17033
Exons: 3
Source: RefSeq, a predicted model, not a curated record
UUUUUUUUUUUUUGUUUUUUUUUUUUUUUUGGGGGGGGGGGGGGGGGGGGGUUUUAUCGGGUUUUACAAAUAUCCAGAUGACAGAAGUUGGUAUUUUUCAGCAGCAAAAUUCCGUGAUGGCGACGACGGCCAGUGGUCUCCGACUGGCGCCGCCGCCAUGCUUACGGUUUCCGCAAUCGUCAAUUCGUGCAGCACUGAGUAAACAAAGCCAGAGGUUUCUGACCUCAAUCGCCACCACCGACGAUUUGGCCACCACCGCUAGGUUAAUUCGGAAAUUUAUUGCGUCAAACUCCAAAACCGUAGCUCUCGAUGCUCUCUCUCACCUCCUCUCUCCGAAUACCACCUCCUUCUCCCGUCUCUCUCCUCUAGCGUUCCCUUUAUACAUGGAAAUCAGUAGAACAUCAUGGUUUAAUUGGAAUGCUAAACUGAUAGCUGAUGUCAUUGCUUCACUAUACAAGCAUCAAAGAUUUGAUGAAGCACAGACCCUAGUUUUAGAAGUGGAAACAAAACUAGCGAGUCGAGAACGAGACCUUUGUAACUUCUAUUGUAACCUAAUGGAUGCACACUCGAAGCACCAAUCAAAGCAAGGGAUUUUUUAUUCAUAUGAAUGUAUCAAGCAGCUACAUUCACAUUCAUCAUCAGUUUACCUUAAGAAACGAGCAUAUGAAUCGUUAAUCGGUAGUUUGUCGGUGAUUAAUUUGCCCCGUGAAGCAGAGACUUUGAUGGUAGAGAUGAAGAACAAAGGGCUUAGACCGUCUGUGUUUGAGUAUCGAUCAUUGAGUUAUGCGUAUGGACGGUUAGGAUUGUUUGAAGAUAUGAAGAGGGUUAUUGGUUUGAUGGAGGAUGAGGGUUUUGAAUUAGAUGUGGUUUCCUCAAAUAUGGUGCUUUCUUCAUUAGGAUCUCACAACGAACUCGCGGAAAUGGUCUUAUGGCUUAAAAGAAUGAAAAACUCCAGAAUCCCAUUCUCGAUUAGAACCUAUAAUUCGGUUUUGAAUCAUUGUCAAACCAUUAUGUCAAUCUUAGAACAGCCAAAAGGGAUCAAGCCCACGUCAUUAGGAGCAUUGCUUGAAAACAUGAACCAUCAUGAAGCUACUUUGAUUCAGGAGUUGGUUGAGCCAUCGGUUUUAGUUGAGUCAAUGGAGUUGACUUCGUCGGAACUUAAGCUUGAUUUGCAUGGGAUGCAUUUGGGUUCUGCAUACUUGAUUCUAUUGCAAUGGUUUGACGAUCUUCGCAUGACGUCUGCAACAAAGAAGCACAUGAUUCCCGAUAAGGUUGUAGUCGUGUGUGGCAUGGGGAAACACAGUGUUGUCAGAGGCGAAUCGCCUGUUAAAGGUUUGGUUAAAGAGAUGAUGUUGCAAAUGAAGAGCCCGUUGAAGAUUGAUAGAAAGAACGUAGGAUGUUUUGUUGCCCAUGGAAAAGUUUUUAUGAAUUGGCUCAAUGAAACCUAAUUCAACCAAACGCCCUUUCCAAAUUACUAUGUACUUUUGAAUACUAAUUUAUGUCAGAUCGGAGUGACGGUUUAUACAACAUGUUAUCAGCAAGCGGUUACAGAUUUUUAGAGUUGUUAGCCUCUGUCAAAUAAGCAACUGCAAUCAAGAUGAACACAGUCACUGGUGGUUGAAUCAAAAAGAAUAUUUUCUCCAUGGCGACCGACUAUAUGCCCGAUCAUUGACCUAACAGAACUAGCGUACAACACGAGCCCUAAACCAAGCUGCCAAUUCUGAUUUUGAAAACUACUUGUGGAAAGCAGGAAGGAACAUGUGAAGUGUUUUGUUCUUUAACAUCUCAUUUUCAGCCAUUUUACAUCGGCAUUGAUUGUAAAUACGCUUAAUUUGACGGUCAAAUACUCGCUACUCACUAACACGCCACCAGUCGCCUUAGUCAGAAGAUUUGCAUCUCAGUGCGCAACCAAAAGAUUUUAGACCCCCAAAUUAGGGUAUGUGCAAAGAAUUAACAUAUUGGCGGGAUUGACUCUGUUUGAAUGUAAUUGGUCUCGGCAUCCAUCCACAUUUGAAGAGCAACUGUAAGGACAUCAUCGUUGCUGCUCCAUUUUGGAAAAUGUAGUGCACACAAAGGGCAAGGAUUCAUGGUUAUGGGUGAUUGAGGAUUCAAGGGAAUGCUCGGUUACAAUUGAUCGACAAAAGAAGAUUCUUCCAUGCCGGGUACUCUCAUGUUUGGAAUAGAUGGGUGCCUUUAAAUGUUGAUUGUUUUGGGUGGAGAGCGGCUUCCAACUAAAGAAGCAUUGUCGAAGCGUGAGUUAGCCUGCGUCAUUUGUGACAAUCCGGUGGAAUCUGGCCAACCGUCUACUCAUCUCGUGCCCAUUGGAUGUAGACUCUCACAUGGUGCAAGAUUCCGAAUACGUCAGUUAGUUCGGUUGAUGAAGCUUUUUCACUCCAUUGGGGUUAGACCACCCGUAGUGGUUAAGAAAAAUAAUGCCCCCACCAUGGGGCAUUAUCCGACACGUGUCAUCCCAGUUAGCAUGGGGCGUUAUUGCAAAAGUGGCGUAGUGGGAAUAAUGCCCAAAUAAUGCCCCUUCCAAUCAUUAAAAAGGAUUAAAAAAAAAAGAAACUUAUUUAAAAAGCUGUUUGGUCA